AAAUAUAAAAAUUGCUUUUGACGUUGCAUUGUUUUGCUUACAUUUGUUUUGCAUUCUGAAGAUUUUAGAAGAAAUAAGUGAACACACAAUAUAAAAACUUAAAAAAAAAUGGUUACGCCGACUCCGGACACUCAAGAUCAGUUUGAUCAAUUCGAAGACGAAGAGAAUGAGCAACAGCUCGGGGCAACUGCUUCGGGCAGGAAAAGGUUAUUCAGUAAAGAACUGCGUUGUAUGAUGUAUGGAUUUGGAGAUGACCAGAAUCCUUAUACGGAAAGUGUAGAUUUCUUAGAAGAUCUUGUAAUUGAAUUCAUUACGGAAACCACACAUAAGGCAAUGGAGGUCGGUAGACCUGGUAGAGUUCAAGUGGAAGAUAUAAUAUUCUUAGUGCGCAAAGACCCAAGGAAAUAUGCGAGAGUCAAAGACUUGUUAACAAUGAAUGAAGAGUUGAAGAAAGCUAGAAAGGCCUUUGAUGAAGUUAAAUAUGUUGAAGACCAACAAUAGCAUAUGUGGCCAAGCAUCCAACACAUCUAAGACUGAUAAUGAACUGUUUUAAAAAAUUAUGGAGAGCAUUAGUAAAUCUACAAGGCAUCAUUCAGAGAAGUUUUGAGGACGAAUGAAGAAAGCAUAAAAGUUGUAUAAACAUUCCUGUUGAAAUAUACAAUAUUGUGAAUGUA
RNA transcript from Papilio polytes (common Mormon), 674 nucleotides. It is a transcript of the gene named transcription initiation factor TFIID subunit 13, with no coding region annotated. Lineage: Eukaryota; Metazoa; Arthropoda; Insecta; Lepidoptera; Papilionidae. The transcript is spliced from 6 exons. The record is from RefSeq and is marked provisional.